AUGGGGAGAAAUCCGCCACGUAUGGUCGUGCUGCUGGCUGCGGCCGUGGUCACCACCAUGCUGUCGCUGAGCGCGUCGUCGGCGGGCGGGCAGCUGCUGCACCCGGUGGUGCUCAUCCCGGGCUCCGGCGGCAACCAGCUGGAGGCGCGGCUGACGGACGACUACAGGCCGUCGAGCCUGACCUGCCGGGUGUGGCCGCUGGUGCGCGGCCGCGGCGGCUGGUUCCGCAUGUGGUUCGAGCCGUCCGUCGUCGUCGCGUCCCUCACCCGCUGCUUCGCCGAGCGCAUGAUGCUCUACUACGACCGCGACGCCGACGACUACCGCAACGCGCCCGGCGUGCUGACCAGGGUCGACGACUUCGGCUCCACCUCCACCCUCCGCUACCUCGACCCAACCCUCAAGGUCCUGACGGGGUACAUGGACAUCCUCGCGAGCACGCUGGAGAAGGCCGGGUACGAGGAGGGGCGCGACCUCUUCGGCGCGCCCUACGACUUCCGCUACGGCCUGGCCGCGCCGGGGCACCCUUCGCAGGUGGGCAGCGCGUACCUGGAGCGCCUCCGGCUGCUGGUGGAGUCCGCGUGCGCGGCCAACGGCGGGAGGCCGGCGAUCCUCAUGGCGCACAGCCUCGGCGGGCUCUACGCGCUGCAGUUCCUGGCGCGCGCCCCGCCCGCCUGGCGCGCGGCGCACGUGAAGCGGCUGGUGACGCUGUCCGCGCCGUGGGGCGGCUCCGUGCAGGAGAUGCUCACCUUCGCCUUCGGCAACACCCUCGGCGUGCCCUUCGUCGACCCCUCCCUCAUCCGCGACGAGCAGCGCAGCUCCGAGAGCAACCUCUGGCUGCUGCCCACGCCCAAGGUCUUCGGCAACACCACGCUCGUCGUGUCGGAGCGCCACAACCGGACCUACUCCGCCAAGAACGUCACACAGUUCCUCAACGACAUUGGGUUCGCCGAUGGGGUGGAGCCGUACCGGGCGCGGAUACGGCCGCUCGGCGAGGUCCUGCCGGAGCCGGGCGUGCCGGUCACGUGCCUCGUGGGCACCGGCGUCGACACCGUGGAGAGCCUCGUGUUCGGGGACGAGGGGUUCGACGCGGGGCCCGUCAAUGUGGUGUACGGUGACGGCGACGGGACGGUGAACCUCGCCAGCCUCAUGGGACCGAUCAAGGCCUGGUCCGACUCGCCGGCGCAGGUCCUCGAGGUGGUGGAGCUGCCCAAGGUCUCGCACAUGGGCAUCCUCAAGGACAAGAGCGCCCUCGACCAGAUCCUCAGGAUUCUUGAUUCCAUCAACCUAAACGCCACGACCAUGACCUAUCAGUCUUAUAAAUAG
This 1323-nucleotide ribosomal RNA is filed under the name Triticum aestivum (bread wheat). RNAcentral's name for it is "partial small subunit ribosomal RNA". The record is from RNAcentral. Lineage: Eukaryota; Viridiplantae; Streptophyta; Magnoliopsida; Poales; Poaceae.